RNAcentral lists this ribosomal RNA (306 nucleotides) under uncultured bacterium. RNAcentral describes it as "partial 16S ribosomal RNA". It matches the Rfam family "Bacterial small subunit ribosomal RNA", at positions 507 to 809 of the family's 1533-position model. The record is from RNAcentral.
GACAGCAGUCGCCGCGGUAGUACGAGGGGGGCAAGCGUUGUUCGGAAUUAUUGGGCGUAAAGAGUUCGUAGGCGGUUUGUUAAGUCUGAUGUUAAAGAUCGGGGCUCAACCCUGGGAGUGCACUGGAUACUGGCAGACUGGAGUGUGGUAGAGGCUAGUGGAAUUCCUAGUGUAGCGGUGAAAUGCGUAGAUAUUAGGAAGAACACCAGUGGCGUAGGCGACUAGCUGGGCCAUAACUGACGCUGAGGAACGAAAGCCAGGGGAGCGAAUGGGAUUAGAUACCCCAGUAGUCCCUGUCUCUUAUAA